CCUACGGGUGGCAGCAGUGAGGAAUAUUGGUCAAUGGGGGGAACCCUGACCGAGCAACGCCGCGUGAACGAAGAAGUUAUUCGUAAUGUAAAGUUCUUUUAACAGGGAAGAAAGAGAAAUUUGACGGUACCUGAAGAAUAAGCUCCGGCUAACUACGUGCCAGCAGCCCCGGUAAUACGUAGGGAGCGAGCGUUAGCCGGAAGUAUUGGGCGUAAAGGGUGCGUAGAUGGUAUAGUAAGUCUUUUGUAAAAAUGCUGGGCUCAACCCAGUAGGGCAAAAGAUACUGGAAAGCUAGAGUAUGAGAGAGGCAAGUGGAACUACAUGUGUAGCGGUAAAAUGCGUAAAUAUAUGGAAGAACACCAGUGGCGAAGGCGGCUUGCUGGGUCGAUACUGACAUUGAGGCACGAAAGCGUGGGGAGCAAACAGGAUUAGAUACCCUUGUAGUC
This 446-nucleotide ribosomal RNA is filed under the name uncultured bacterium. RNAcentral's name for it is "partial 16S ribosomal RNA". It matches the Rfam family "Bacterial small subunit ribosomal RNA", at positions 338 to 795 of the family's 1533-position model. The record is from RNAcentral.